RNAcentral lists this ribosomal RNA (257 nucleotides) under uncultured prokaryote. RNAcentral describes it as "partial 16S ribosomal RNA". It matches the Rfam family "Bacterial small subunit ribosomal RNA", at positions 524 to 780 of the family's 1533-position model. The record is from RNAcentral.
UACGGAAGAUGCAAGCGUUAUCCGGAUUCAUUGGGUUUAAAGGGUGCGUAGGCGGGCUAUUAAGUCAGCGGUGAAAUUUUGCAGCUUAACUGUAACAGUGCCGUUGAUACUGUUUGGCUAGGAUUUGGUUGUAGUGUGCGGAAUGUGUGGUGUAGCGGUGAAAUGCUUAGAUAUCACACAGAACACCGAUUGCGAAGGCAGCUCACAAAGCCAAGAUUGACGCUGAGGCACGAAAGUGUGGGGAUCAAACAGGAUUA